CCAAGGGGCUGCAGAGCCCCACACAGACACAGACACCCCCCUGUCCCCAGGGGAAGGAGGCUGCACUCCUCAUUUUGAGGGGCUGUCCCCACCCAGCCACUGCCCUUUCCACUGCCACUGCUGAAGUGGCUGGAAAAUGGGAUGGAAAUGGAUUUGGAAUGAUUUACACAGAUACUGUCACACUGAUAACUGCUGCGUUACGAGUUUGGGGUUUGGCAGAAAACAAACCUGAUUUCCCAGCUCAUCCUGAGGGAUCAGAGGGACUGGAAGCAGCAGGGCUGAAUUCCUGACAGGAGCCAGUUCCACUUGGCAGCACUGGGGAGGUCCCACUUCAAGUACUGUGGUUGUUUUGGGCCCCUCGCACCAGACAGACCUGGAGGCACUGGAGGGUUGUGGAAAAUGGCCCAUCCUGUUGUGUGGGCACAGAGCUGCUGUGAGAUUUGGACUGGACAGGGUUGAGGGAAGA
Molecule: non-coding RNA, 466 nt
Organism: Taeniopygia guttata (zebra finch)
Lineage: Eukaryota; Metazoa; Chordata; Aves; Passeriformes; Estrildidae
Source: RefSeq, a predicted model, not a curated record